CACAGCUGAAACUCAUUAAAGUGUAACAUGGUGAAUGAGUGCACAGUGGCCAAUUUCAGUAGGGGCUUAGGUCCCGGGAUGCCCGCUGCCCACUCCCUGCAACCGCUAACCUGACAGCACAAGCUUUUUAUGCUACUGCAGCUGUGUAAAUCCCCGUCAAGGAUUGGUCCCUCUGGAGAUGAGACCGCCUACUUCCUGGCUGCUGCUCGCUGGUGUCGGUGAUUGGUAUGGCUAGGAUCUGACUGAACCUACCAAUCAGGAGUCUCCAAUCAACCCCAGCUGCACCUUAAAUGGUUUGUGCCCCCCACAGUUCAGGGCGGCUGUGAACCAAUGAUCAGUUCACCCUGCUAUUGGUUGCAUAUCGGUGUGUUUAGUCUAGAGAGUGUUUGUAUUCGGCAGUGUUGCCCGUCUGCUGCCUGUCAGAGUGACUUUAGUCAGUGCUGAGAACCUUUGUAAUUCACUUCAUUUGUUAAAGUGUACCAAGUGUUUGACACUUUGUUUUCUUUACUUGUCUUUUGUAAGCUUAUUGGUGCUGACUUCUUUUUGUUCUGUAGUGUAACUGGUGAAUUUUGCCUUGUCUUUGGAUAAGACCCUCUUUUUUUUUAAUUGUUAAUGGUAGUUUGUCAGCACCUGUUUAGCCCUCUUUCUGUGAUAUUUCUUUGUACAAGCACUCUCUCUUGGUCAAUUAAACACUUUACAUUAA
Long non-coding RNA from Micropterus dolomieu (smallmouth bass), 703 nucleotides. RefSeq lists it as uncharacterized. NCBI's taxonomy places the organism in Eukaryota, Metazoa, Chordata, Actinopteri, Centrarchiformes, Centrarchidae. The record is from RefSeq and is a predicted model, not a curated record. The transcript has 3 exons.